This 424-nucleotide ribosomal RNA is filed under the name uncultured prokaryote. RNAcentral's name for it is "bacterial SSU rRNA". It matches the Rfam family "Bacterial small subunit ribosomal RNA", at positions 355 to 796 of the family's 1533-position model. The record is from RNAcentral.
UGGGGAAUCUUAGACAAUGGGGGAAACCCUGAUCUAGCCAUGCCGCGUGAGCGAUGAAGGCCUUAGGGUUGUAAAGCUCUUUCGCCUGGGAAGAUAAUGACGGUACCAGGUAAAGAAGCCCCGGCUAACUCCGUGCCAGCAGCCGCGGUAAUACGGAGGGGGCUAGCGUUGUUCGGAAUUACUGGGCGUAAAGCGCACGUAGGCGGACCAGAAAGUCAGGGGUGAAAUCCCGGGGCUCAACCCCGGAACUGCCUUUGAAACUCCUGGUCUCGAGUUCGAGAGAGGUGAGUGGAAUUCCGAGUGUAGAGGUGAAAUUCGUAGAUAUUCGGAGGAACACCAGUGGCGAAGGCGGCUCACUGGCUCGAUACUGACGCUGAGGUGCGAAAGUGUGGGGAGCAAACAGGAUUAGAUACCCCCGUAGUCC